Molecule: unclassified non-coding RNA, 216 nt
Filed under: Hevea brasiliensis (rubber tree)
Lineage: Eukaryota; Viridiplantae; Streptophyta; Magnoliopsida; Malpighiales; Euphorbiaceae
Source: RNAcentral
AGGCACAGCAUGAGGAAGAAAUGGUAAACAGACCUGUGAUAAAGCAAAAAAUUAUUGUUAAAAUUUCUUGGCACAGUGAAAUUAAACUGUCUUGACAUUGGCAAAGCUAAUUUUUAAUCAUGUUCUGAUAUCCUUAGUUAAUUGAUGACUUGAUGUUUGGAUGAAGUAUGGUUUAACUGCAUUUCUUUUUGCAGGCGAUGUUGGCUAGAGAACGUG